CAGGCAUCAAUAUGUUAAAAACUAAGGCGAAUUUUUAAAAAGCAAAGAAUAUUUGGUGAAAUACUAGAAUACCAACAUAUGAUUGUAGACAAUGCAAAAGUACUGGAAUAUAUAACGUUUCUAUAAAAAGGACUUGUAUGUAUGGUGAGUAAGCACAUAGCCAUAUGGUUACUUCGGUUACUAUGGUUACUACCCCUAUGGUUACUACGGUUAGAACUGUUAAUGAAACAGUGUAUGAAAGAAGCAGCAGAGCAUACCAGAUGGGAGUUGGCCAAAGCUAUUAAAAAAGAGAGACAAAGUAAAAGCAAUGGAUCAGAUGAUUGGAUCCUGAUUAAUGAAACUAAUUGAAUGGCUGGAAAAUAUUGCCUCAAUUUUCAUUAGAGAAGAUAAAUCAAAAAGAAUGAUCAUUA
Molecule: long non-coding RNA, 410 nt
Filed under: Androctonus crassicauda
Lineage: Eukaryota; Metazoa; Arthropoda; Arachnida; Scorpiones; Buthidae
Source: RNAcentral